This 546-nucleotide long non-coding RNA is filed under the name Penaeus japonicus. RNAcentral describes it as "uncharacterized LOC122262154". The record is from RNAcentral. Lineage: Eukaryota; Metazoa; Arthropoda; Malacostraca; Decapoda; Penaeidae.
UUUUCGUUAUCAUGACUGUGACGUGAAGGGGGCAGCAUUCUCAAGGCUCUUAGAAGACCGAGGGUAUUCUCGUGCCAUCGACACUUCCGUCACGAUAUCUGCCUUAACUUAACCUAAAGGCGUGUUUCAGCGUUCAGAAUGCUUCGACCGACCCGGAUCCUGUUACUGGUGGUGAUGUUGACAAUGGCGGCCAUGUUGGUUGUUGAGGCCGCGCCCGUACAGGAUGAAGAGGCCAGGGAUUUCGCUGUUAAAUGUAUACUGUGCAGUCCUACUUGCCGACCGUGCUACAAGCCCGACCAUAACAACGUGUGUCGGCCAAUCUUCAACUGCACCCCUUGACUUCUUCCGCUAUGAAAAGGGGCGGUUAUUGGUGGCUGGGAUGAAAAUAUAGACUAAGAGGAAAUCGGAAAAGAUGGAUAGAGGAGUAUGAAGAGGAAGGAGGAUGUUAUACGAGUUUAAUGCUUGUAUAAGGAAUACGAUGGAUGGAUAUGUUAAGAGUUGGUGAUAAUGGUUUAAUUGAUACAGUUCUUAAAUUUUUGGUUUUCA